CGUUCCUGUUAUAGAGACUGUUGGCACUCUUGGAUGUGAAGGCACCUGUUUUUGCAUCCUUCAGUUGCUUUGUUGACAGUGACAGAUUAGGAGCCCCUUGUUGGAUAAGCUCUUCUAGCCGUUCAAAAGAGAUGACCAAAAUCCCAGAGAGAUUUGGGAAGGGGAGAGAAAUGUCUAAAACAUUGGGAAAUGUCGUAUGUACUCUUCACACAACCAGAGGUUUCGGUUCACACUGGUUUUAGGAACAGCUGGGCACAUUUGUUUAGCUUUAUUCUGUCAUAGCAUUUUGUUGAUUACGGUUUUUUUUUUUCGAGGAUGUUUCUUUAGCGUAUCAAAAACACUUUUUUGAACGCUGGGACACGUUUUCUCUUUCAGGAUCUUAGUUUGCCGACUAAGCAGUUAACCCCCGAAUAGGCCUUCUCUAGCAAAUUGUGGAAUGUUGGCAAGAAUUUGCGUAAUUAGCAUGGCUCACCUGCUUGGAAACAUGUUAGCUUAUAAGGUGAUGAGCAAUCUUGGUAUGUUGACAAUAACAAACAGACGAAAGACACACCAAAAAUCUAAAAUCCUUUUGACAACAUUGGAAGUUUUGUUUUUGAUUAUGUACCCGAUGAUUUUCCUCGCCGA
Molecule: long non-coding RNA, 624 nt
Organism: Neltuma alba
Lineage: Eukaryota; Viridiplantae; Streptophyta; Magnoliopsida; Fabales; Fabaceae
Exons: 3
Source: RefSeq, a predicted model, not a curated record